GCGUUCGUAGCUCAGCUGGAUAGAGCACCGGAUUUCGAUUCCGGGGGUCAGAGGUUCGAAUCCUCUCGAGCGCACCA
Molecule: transfer RNA, 77 nt
Filed under: Myxococcaceae bacterium
Lineage: Bacteria; Pseudomonadati; Myxococcota; Myxococcia; Myxococcales; Myxococcaceae
Description: tRNA-Arg
Rfam family: tRNA
About the family: Transfer RNA (tRNA) molecules are approximately 80 nucleotides in length. Their secondary structure includes four short double-helical elements and three loops (D, anti-codon, and T loops).
Source: RNAcentral